RNAcentral lists this ribosomal RNA (530 nucleotides) under uncultured bacterium. RNAcentral's name for it is "bacterial SSU rRNA". It matches the Rfam family "Bacterial small subunit ribosomal RNA", at positions 355 to 899 of the family's 1533-position model. The record is from RNAcentral.
UGGGGAAUCUUGGACAAUGGGGGCAACCCUGAUCCAGCCAUGCCGCGUGAGUGAUGAAGGCCUUAGGGUCGUAAAGCUCUUUCGCCUGUGAAGAUAAUGACGGUAGCAGGUAAAGAAACCCCGGCUAACUCCGUGCCAGCAGCCGCGGUAAUACGGAGGGGGUUAGCGUUGUUCGGAAUUACUGGGCGUAAAGCGCACGUAGGCGGACCAGAAAGUUGGGGGUGAAAUCCCGGGGGCUCAACCCCGGAACUGCCUCCAAAACUAUUGGUCUAGAGUUCGAGAGAGGUGAGUGGAAUUCCAAGUGUAGAGGUGAAAUUCGUAGAUAUUUGGAGGAACACCAGUGGCGAAGGCGGCUCACUGGCUCGAUACUGACGCUGAGGUGCGAAAGUGUGGGGAGCAAAACAGGAUUAGAUACCCUGGUAGUCCACACCGUAAAACGAUGAAUGCCAGUCGUCGGGGUAGCAUGCUAUUCGGUGACACACCUAACGGAUUAAGCAUUCCGCCUGGGGAGUACGGUCGCAAGAUUAAAA